RNAcentral lists this ribosomal RNA (2134 nucleotides) under Euglena schmitzii. RNAcentral describes it as "bacterial SSU rRNA". It matches the Rfam family "Eukaryotic small subunit ribosomal RNA", at positions 101 to 1657 of the family's 1831-position model. Lineage: Eukaryota; Euglenozoa; Euglenophyceae; Euglenales; Euglenaceae. RNAcentral also lists the same sequence under 1 other name. The record is from RNAcentral.
UUACAUCAGCAGUCGUCUAUGCGAUAGCGUGUGGUUGGCACCACCUGCCAGGGUUGCCCAGUGGGACAUAUCCUCCAAAACCUCGAGGCUAAUACACGCACGAAGCAGUCGGCCGCAGCACGAGGUUGCUCCCCGUCCUUACCGGCGGGUCACCUCGGUGGUGGAUGACACCCAGCUGGUAUGAAGACCAGUGCCCGUCAAGGGCAGCGUGCUGUUGGUUGACUCAGGCUGGUCCCCCUGGGACGGCCUGUGCUGGCAGAGUGGUGGCCUCGUGCCACGGAAACCGCUUGAUCGCACGAACUUCUGACUUAUCAGCUGUGAUUGUGGUGUAGUGGACCACAAUGGCCCUUACGAGUAACGGAGAAUUUGGGUUCGAUUCCGGAGAGGGAGCCUGAGAAACGGCUACCACUACCAAGGUGGGCAGCAGGCGCGCAAAUUGCCCAGUGCAGACACCCCUGUGAGGCAGCGACGAACCGCAGCAAUCCCGCCAGCACUCUGCUGGUGGGACUUGGAAUGGAUGCAAUCCAAACACAGCGAUGAGUAUCAACUGGAGGGCAAGUCUGGUGCCAGCAGCUGCGGUAAUUCCAGCUCCAAGGGCGUAUGCUAUCAUUGCUGCUGUUAAAACACCUGUAGUCUGCCACUGGGUCGCAGGUCCGCUGGGCGGCCCGGCUCGGACCGGCGUGGGGGGCCCCUCGGGGUUCCCUCGCCGCCCGACGCUGGGAUCUCACCCCUGGUGGUAUGCUCCUGCACCCGAGACACCUGUCGGUGAGAACGCCCCUGCCACAAGUCUCCUUCACUGGAGGCCCCAGCGGCUGUGCCCAGCACGCAGGCCAUGGUGCGAACCCCCAGGAGGAAGAGGGUGUGUGCCCACACCGCUCGGUCGUGCCCUGCGCACGGGGGACGCCCAGCCAUCGGGGCCCACCGUCGUGGAGAUCGUGGAAAACUCAGUGUGCCUCAGGCGUCCUGCAUUAUGGCUGAAUGUCCGUCCAUGAAAUCUCAGAGCAACGACCGAGCUGUGUCACUGGAGUUGUGCUGGCCUUGGAACCCGCUCAGGGCAACACGGCGCAUGUUCCCCGCCCCCAACGGCGCUGAAGCCUGGGGGGACCCCUUUCCAAAGGGGCCCCCCUCCGGCGAGCCGAGUGGGGUUUGUGGUCGCAUGCGUCAAACCGAAUGCGAUGGGACCGCUCAGGGUGAAAGAUACUGCAACGCCAGAGGUGAAAUUCUUAGACCGCUGCAAGAUCAACUGCGGCGAAGGCGUUCUGCAAGUGCUUGUUCGUCGAUCAAGGAUGAGAGUCCGGGGAGCGAAGAGGAUCAGACACCCUCGUAGUCCAGCACUGUAAACCGUGCCAGCCAGGCCUCAGUGGGGAAAAUCCAAAGACCCCACUGGUGCCAAGCCCCCUACAACGAGAAAUCCACAGCCUGUGGGUUCAGGGGGGAGUACGUUCGCAAGGCUGAAACUUAAAGGAAUUGACGGAAUGGCACCACAAGGCGUGGAGUAUGCGGCUUAAUUUGACUCAACACGGGGAAGGUUACCAGGUCAGGACACAGCUGGGAUUGACAGAUUGAGAGCUCUUUCUUGAUCCUGUGGAAGGUGGUGCAUGGCCGCUCCUGAUUGGUGGAGUGAUUUGUCUGGUUGAUUCCGAUAACGAGUGAGACAUCUGCCUCCCAGUAGCCUGGGGCUCGCAUUCGGUAGGGCUUCGAUCGGGGAACCAACGGUCGGCGUGCGUAGCCGGUGUCCCCCGUCUCCCUCGGCCGCGGCGGUGGGUUCGUCCCACAGUCCGAGGUCCGUUGUGGGGCGGUGUGGCGCGGGUGUCGCCCGUCGGUCGUCUCCGGACGGCCCGAGAGCCCCCAGUUCCCAGAACGCUUCUCUGAGGUGCUGCGCACGCUGCCAAAGUGCGCGCAUGCUAGAGCCAACAGCAGGUCUGUGAUGCUCCCAGAUGUCCUGGGCCGCACGCGCACUACACUGAUCCAGGGAAGGAGUCGCUGCGCCUGCUCUGCCAGGCCCUGGCCGGAAGUGGCUGGGAAACCCUGCAAGUCUGGAUCGUGAUGGGGAUAGAUGAUUGCAACUGUCUGCCUUGAACGUGGAAUGCCUAGUAGGCGUUGGUCAUCAGCCAACACCGAUUGUGUCCCUGCC